RNAcentral lists this ribosomal RNA (91 nucleotides) under Streptococcus oralis. The record is from RNAcentral. RNAcentral also lists the same sequence under 2 other names. Lineage: Bacteria; Bacillati; Bacillota; Bacilli; Lactobacillales; Streptococcaceae.
CACCUGUACCCAUGCCGAACACAGCAGUUAAGCCCUAGAACGCCGGAAGUAGUUGGGGGUUGCCCCCUGUGAGAUAUGGAAGUCGCUUAGC